AACGAUCUCUACAUUGUAGGC
Molecule: microRNA, 21 nt
Filed under: Solanum lycopersicum (tomato)
Lineage: Eukaryota; Viridiplantae; Streptophyta; Magnoliopsida; Solanales; Solanaceae
Description: sly-miR9475-5p
Source: miRBase by way of RNAcentral